UCUCCUUCUUAUUCUUCCCCUUCUCUUGUUUCUUAUCCUGUUUCUUCUUCUCCUUAGCUUAUUUUCCCAACAAAGACAUACUUAGCUAAUUAUCUGUGACAGCCCAAGACCGGAGCUCCAGAAGAAUCCCCUUUUAUUCCAUUGGUCGUCGUGGGAUUAGAUUGUUUGUCGCAUUCAUCAUAGCAUCAUGUACAUCAUCUUCAUUGCAUCGGCACUCCGUUGCCACCAGUUUUCAAAACGUGCAUCCGUUAUUAGUUG
This 258-nucleotide long non-coding RNA is filed under the name Hordeum vulgare. RNAcentral describes it as "long non-coding RNA (HVUL_LNC004050)". Lineage: Eukaryota; Viridiplantae; Streptophyta; Magnoliopsida; Poales; Poaceae. The record is from RNAcentral.